This 73-nucleotide transfer RNA is filed under the name Methanobrevibacter sp. RNAcentral's name for it is "tRNA-Thr". It matches the Rfam family "tRNA". From Rfam's summary of the family: Transfer RNA (tRNA) molecules are approximately 80 nucleotides in length. Their secondary structure includes four short double-helical elements and three loops (D, anti-codon, and T loops). The record is from RNAcentral. Lineage: Archaea; Methanobacteriati; Methanobacteriota; Methanobacteria; Methanobacteriales; Methanobacteriaceae.
GCCUUCUUAGCUCAAUUGGCAGAGCACGUGAUUUGUAAUCUCGAGGUUAUCGGUUCGAUUCCGGUAGAAGGCU